UGGUUCUGGCAUCGAUGAAGAACGCAGCGAAAUGCGAUAAGUAAUGUGAAUUGCAGAAUUCAGUGAAUCAUCGAAUCUUUGAACGCAUAUUGCGCCCUUUGGCAUUCCGAAGGGCAUGCCUGUUCGAGCGUUAUUAUCAACCAUCAAGCCUGGCUUGUUGUUAGACUCUUGGUUAUAAGGACCGGUCUUAAAGAUAAUCGGUAGAACCUCAUGGCUCCCAGUAUAACAAGCUUUUUUAUAGCAUAUAUCUGUAGGCCUGUGGUCUUACCUGUAAACCCCCAAUUUUCUUAGGUUAACCUCGGAUCAGGUAGGAAUACCCGCUGA
Molecule: unclassified non-coding RNA, 324 nt
Filed under: uncultured fungus
Lineage: Eukaryota; Fungi
Description: partial contains 5.8S ribosomal RNA and internal transcribed spacer 2
Rfam family: 5.8S ribosomal RNA (bases 1-133)
Source: RNAcentral